Molecule: ribosomal RNA, 468 nt
Filed under: uncultured bacterium
Lineage: Bacteria
Description: partial 16S ribosomal RNA
Rfam family: Bacterial small subunit ribosomal RNA
Source: RNAcentral
GACGAACGCUGGCGGCGUGCUUAACACAUGCAAGUCGAACGGUGAUGCUCCAGCUUGCUGGAGUGGAUCAGUGGCGAACGGGUGAGUAACACGUGAGCAACCUGCCCCAGACUCUGGAAUAAGCGCUGGAAACGGCGUCUAAUACUGGAUACGAAACUGGCCCGCAUGGGCAUGGUUUGGAAAGUUUUUCGGUUUGGGAUGGGCUCGCGGCCUAUCAGCUUGUUGGUGAGGUAAUGGCUCACCAAGGCGACGACGGGUAGCCGGCCUGAGAGGGCGACCGGCCACACUGGGACUGAGACACGGCCCAGACUCCUACGGGAGGAAGCAGUGGGGAAUAUUGCACAAUGGGCGAAAGCCUGAUGCAGCGACGCCGCGUGAGGGAUGACGGACUUCGGGUUGUAAACCUCUUUCAGCAGGGAAGAAGCGAAAGUGACGGUACCUGCAGAAGAAGCACCGGCUAACUACGUG